GGGUGGUUGGUCAGGGUGGAUGGUCAGGGUGGGUGGUCAGGGUGGAUGGUCAGGGUGGAUGGUGAGGGUGUUUGGUCAGGGUGGGUGGUCAGGGUGGAUGGUCAGGGUGGGUGGUCAGGGUGGAUGGGUAGGGUGGUCAGGGUGGAUGGUCAGGAUGGAUGGUCAGGGUGGGUGGUCAGGGUGGGUGGUCAGGGUGGAUGGGUAGGGUGGUCAGGGUGGAUGGGUAUGGUGGGGGUGGUCAGAGUGGUUGGUCGGGGUGGUCAGGGUUGAUGGUCAGGGUGGAUGGUCAGGGUGGUUGGUCAGGGUGGUUGGUCAGGGUGGUUGAUCAGGGUGGUUGGUCAGGGUGGUUGGUCAGGGUGGGUGGUCAGGGUGUGUGGUCAGGGUGGAUGGUCAGGGUAGAUGGUCAGGGUGGGUGGUGGAUCAGGGUGGAUGGUCAGGG
This is a long non-coding RNA of Oncorhynchus tshawytscha (Chinook salmon), 439 nucleotides long. The record is from Ensembl. NCBI's taxonomy places the organism in Eukaryota, Metazoa, Chordata, Actinopteri, Salmoniformes, Salmonidae.